RNAcentral lists this ribosomal RNA (253 nucleotides) under uncultured bacterium. RNAcentral describes it as "partial 16S ribosomal RNA". It matches the Rfam family "Bacterial small subunit ribosomal RNA", at positions 524 to 776 of the family's 1533-position model. The record is from RNAcentral.
UACGGAGGGUGCAAGCGUUGUUCGGAAUCAUUGGUCGUAAAGCGCGUGUAGGCGGUUGGGUAAGUCUGAUGUGAAAGCCCGGGGCUCAACCCCGGAAGUGCAUUGGAUACUGUCUAGCUAGAGAGCGAGAGAGGAAAGUGGAAUUCCUGGUGUAGGGGUGAAAUCCGUAGAGAUCAGGAGGAACAACAGUGGCGAAGGCGACAUUCUGGGUCGUUACUGACGCUGAGACGCGAAAGCGUGGGGAGCAAACAGG